Molecule: unclassified non-coding RNA, 352 nt
Filed under: soil metagenome
Description: partial contains 5.8S ribosomal RNA, internal transcribed spacer 2, and large subunit ribosomal RNA
Rfam family: 5.8S ribosomal RNA (bases 1-120)
Source: RNAcentral
GAUGAAGAACGCAGCGAAAUGCGAUAAGUAAUGUGAAUUGCAGAAUUCAGUGAAUCAUCGAAUCUUUGAACGCACAUUGCGCCCGCCAGUAUUCUGGCGGGCAUGCCUGUUCGAGCGUCAUUACAACCCUCAGGCCCCCGGGCCUGGCGUUGGGGAUCGGCGGAGCCCCCCGUGGGCACACGCCGUCCCCCAAAUGCAGUGGCGGUCCCGCCGCAGCUUCCAUCGCGUAGUAGCUAACACCUCGCGACUGGAGAGCGGCGCGGCCACGCCGUAAAACACCCAACUCUUCUGAAGUUGACCUCGAAUCCGGUAGGAAUACCCGCUGAACUUAAGCAUAUCAAUAAGCGGAGGA